AUUCCAAUCGAACACGGAGAUAGCUGGUUCUCCCCGAAAUAGCUUUAGGGCUAGCCUGAGGUAGUAAGUAUAGGCGGUAGAGCACUGAUCGGGCUAGGGGCCGUAAAGGUUACCGAACCCUGUCAAACUCCGAAUGGAUAUACUGUAGAGCCUUGGAGUCAGACUACGAGUGAUAAGAUCCGUGGUCAAAAGGGAAACAGCCCAGACCACCAGCUAAGGUCCCCAAUGUCGUACUAAGUGGAAAAGGAUGUGGGGUUUCAUAAACAACCAGGAUGUUGGCUCAGAAGCAGCCACCAUUUAAAGAGUGCGUAAUAGCUCACUGGUCGAGAGACCCUGCGCCGAAGAUUCCCGGGGCUAAAGUACGAAACCGAAGCUGUGGCUGUAUACGUAAAGUAUACGGGGUAGGGGAGCGUUCCCAUAGGGUAGAAGUCGAACUGGAAGGUUCGGUGGACUUGUGGGAAGUGAGAAUGUUGGUAUGAGUAGCGAAAAGAAAGGUGAGAAUCCUUUCCACCGAAAGCAUAAGGAUUCCUGAGCAACGAUCGUCGUCUCAGGGUAAGUCGGGACCUAAUCCGAGGCAGAGAGCGUAGGAGAUGGACAACUGGUUGAUAUUCCAGUACCGGUAGUAAUUGUUUGAGCAAUGGAGUGACACAGAAGGGCAGGCAAGCAUGCGAAUGGAAGAGCAUGUGUAAGCGUGUAGGGUGGUGCAUAGGCAAAUCCGUGCACUGAAAGCCUGAGGCGUGAUGCGGAGUGAGCAGAGAUGCGAGCGAAGUUGUUGACCCCACACUGUCGAGAAAAGCUUCUAGUGAGAGAGCUACCGCCCGUACCGUAAACCGACACAGGUAUGCGGGGAGAGAAUCCUAAGGUGCGCGGGAGAACCCUCGUUAAGGAACUCGGCAAAAUGUACCCGUAACUUCGGGAUAAGGGUAGCCACUGUUGUGAAGUCCCAUGCGGAUGGAGCAUAGAGUGGUCGCAGAGAAGAGGCCCAAGCGACUGUUUACCAUAAACACAGGUGCCUGCUAAAGCGAAAGCUGACGUAUAGGUGCUGACACCUGCCCAGUGCCGGAAGGUUAAGGAAGGAUGUUCGGAGUAAUCCAAAGCAUUCGACUGAAGCCCCGGUGAACGGCGGCCGUAACUAUAACGGUCCUAAGGUAGCGAAAUUCCUUGUCGGGUAAG
This 1173-nucleotide ribosomal RNA is filed under the name human gut metagenome. Its description in RNAcentral is "bacterial LSU rRNA". It matches the Rfam family "Bacterial large subunit ribosomal RNA", at positions 826 to 1980 of the family's 2925-position model. The record is from RNAcentral.